CGACGCAUUUAACCCUUUAAGCGGCAGUGUAGCAGAUCUGCUACAAAUAGAAAAGUGCGCGAAUUUUUCGCAGUCUGGGUCUAGUUUCUUCUUUUACCCACAAUGCAAUACAGCCCACGUUGUUGACAUUGUUGUAAUGGCGAAAAUUUUUACCAAAGUGGCUUUUAGACCGAGAAAAUGAUAUCCAAAUCACAGUGAUUUCGGUAAGUUUUAAAGCUCUAAGUUCGUGACAAUGUUCUAUCUUUGUAAAGCGCUCUAGGGUAUAAGUUUUAGUAUAUUAUAAUUUGACAUAAGGCAGUCUUUUCAUAUCGUAUUUGUGUGUUUGUAUAAAUUCGUUUGUAUGUAUUGAAUAAUUUCAUAAAGAUAUUUGUAGCAUAUCUGCUACAUUGCCGCGAAGUGGUCACUGAAGCUCAGAUUACAUGAACACUAUAUUUUUAAUAAAAGACACAACAUGUGCUGUAUUUUACUGCAAUUUCCUUUGAAUAUAGUUGCAACAAGUAAAUAUUUCUUUUGUCUUCAGUAUUGGGCCUCUUGGCUGCAGGUUAAACCAGUUGAACAUUCUAUUCUACCCUGCUUUUUGUGUUUAUGUAUAUAUAUGCUCAUACUGUGUAUAUACUAUGUAUUAGUAAAACUAUUGUAAGCUUGAUUUUAUCCCUUUUCAUCAUGUUCAUGAGCUUCAGUGCUACAGUGGUCAGAUCCAUAUUAAGUUCUCCCCUCUGAAUAUAGUGGCCUCGUUUCUCGGCUGCGAACCCUAUGAGUUUCUCAUGUGAAAAUAAACAAGCGAACACUCUGCCGGAAGUUGUAGGUUUCAUCCCGGUAAUAGGAUUCGUCAUGUUUCCUCAAACAUGAAAAGUUGACACCGAAGCACUAUUACAAUUCAUGUUACAAAUAUAUAGAGCCAUAGUCUAGUAGGGAGUGAGCUGAAUAUUUAUUCCGCCUUCAAGGAUGUUCAUUACAACCCAACAAGGACGGCAAUAAAGCGGUACGUAGCACCAUGGACUUCAAGUCUGAUACAAACAAAGGUCAAUGCCGGGCUGCUCUACUGCAGGCAUUGUGAUCAGUUGAGAAUUCGAAAGAAAUGAAGCUUGUCAUUGCUGGACUUUGUUUUGAAAAUUUCCGAGAGUUUGAUCAGUGCCAACAAAGUUGUUCCCAUGGAAACAACCAGUCGUAAGCCAAGUAGACCAAGCAAAUGAAAAUUGUCUGAGGCAGAUGGUCCAUCAGCAAAGGUUGGUCACAAACCCACCACACCUGUACCAUCAAAUGAUACACAGUAUGACCAACUUGGACAUUGGCCCAACCCCGUGAAUGGUAACCGCAGUCGAUGUCGCCAUUGUAAAGAUGGGCUUUCCAAAAUAUUUUGCGGCAAAUGUAAGAUUUGUCUCUGCUUAGAGAGGGAGAAAACUGUUUUCUGGACAACCAUAAUAAAUAACUUUCAUUGUGAACAAGAACUUUUCUAUAUCUAAUGUUGCGAAUAUAUUAUACUGUAUAUACUAUAUAUAUACUAUAUAUACAAAUAUAUAUAUUUAUAUAUAUACUAUAUAUACUAUAUAUAUUAUAUAUAUAUUAUACAAAUUAUAUAUACUAUAUACACUAUAUACAC
Molecule: non-coding RNA, 1600 nt
Organism: Paramuricea clavata
Lineage: Eukaryota; Metazoa; Cnidaria; Anthozoa; Malacalcyonacea; Plexauridae
Source: the annotation of a GenBank genome assembly